AUGACUGGUCUCGUUUCAUCCCAAACUUCACCAAGGUUUCUGUAUCAGGGACUGAAAACUGCCUUGCCUGCCAGCAUAUGCUAUGGCCGACAGAUCAGGCAGUUGGUUUCAUCCCUCGUAGCGGAAAGCUGGAAUGUUAACUGGAAGCCUGUGCUCUUGCAUGUGGUGUGUUUAUCUAGUGCAAGUCAACGGCUCACAAGGCAAGUUGAGGUUUUAGGAAAAGACAAAUGUAGAGUUGAGGCCGUUUCAUUCCUUUCCAGUUUCGUUUGGAAGGCCGUUUCAUCAUUUUGUCUGUUCAUUUUUUUCAGGCACCUGCUAUUGUCUAUAUCUGUAGCUUAA
RNAcentral lists this ribosomal RNA (339 nucleotides) under Triticum aestivum (bread wheat). RNAcentral's name for it is "partial small subunit ribosomal RNA". Lineage: Eukaryota; Viridiplantae; Streptophyta; Magnoliopsida; Poales; Poaceae. The record is from RNAcentral.